AAAUUGAAGAGUUUGAUCAUGGCUCAGAUUGAACGCUGGCGGCAGGCCUAACACAUGCAAGUCGAGCGGUAGCACAGAGAGCUUGCUCUCGGGUGACGAGCGGCGGACGGGUGAGUAAUGUCUGGGAAACUGCCUGAUGGAGGGGGAUAACUACUGGAAACGGUAGCUAAUACCGCAUAAUGUCGCAAGACCAAAGUGGGGGACCUUCGGGCCUCAUGCCAUCAGAUGUGCCCAGAUGGGAUUAGCUAGUAGGUGGGGUAACGGCUCACCUAGGCGACGAUCCCUAGCUGAUAACCUAGUCGAUUGACGUUACCCGCAGAAGAAGCACCGGCUAACUCCGUGCCAGCAGCCGCGGUAAUACGGAGGGUGCAAGCGUUAAUCGGAAUUACUGGGCGUAAAGCGCACGCAGGCGGUCUGUCAAGUCGGAUGUGAAAUCCCCGGGCUUAACCUGGGAACUGCAUUCGAAACUGGCAGGCUAGAGUCUUGUAGAGGGGGGUAGAAUUCCAGGUGUAGCGGUGAAAUGCGUAGAGAUCUGGAGGAAUACCGGUGGCGAAGGCGGCCCCCUGGACAAAGACUGACGCUCAGGUGCGAAAGCGUGGGGAGCAAACAGGAUUAGAUACCCUGGUAGUCCACGCCGUAAACGAUGUCGAUUUGGAGGUUGUGCCCUUGAGGCGUGGCUUCCGGAGCUAACGCGUUAAAUCGACCGCCUGGGGAGUACGGCCGCAAGGUUAAAACUCAAAUGAAUUGACGGGGGCCCGCACAAGCGGUGGAGCAUGUGGUUUAAUUCGAUGCAACGCGAAGAACCUUACCUGGUCUUGACAUCCACAGAACUUUCCAGAGAUGGAUUGGUGCCUUCGGGAACUGUGAGACAGGUGCUGCAUGGCUGUCGUCAGCUCGUGUUGUGAAAUGUUGGGUUAAGUCCCGCAACGAGCGCAACCCUUAUCCUUUGUUGCCAGCGGUUAGGCCGGGAACUCAAAGGAGACUGCCAGUGAUAAACUGGAGGAAGGUGGGGAUGACGUCAAGUCAUCAUGGCCCUUACGACCAGGGCUACACACGUGCUACAAUGGCAUAUACAAAGAGAAGCGACCUCGCGAGAGCAAGCGGACCUCAUAAAGUAUGUCGUAGUCCGGAUUGGAGUCUGCAACUCGACUCCAUGAAGUCGGAAUCGCUAGUAAUCGUAGAUCAGAAUGCUACGGUGAAUACGUUCCCGGGCCUUGUACACACCGCCCGUCACACCAUGGGAGUGGGUUGCAAAAGAAGUAGGUAGCUUAACCUUCGGGAGGGCGCUUACCACUUUGUGAUUCAUGACUGGGGUGAAGUCGUAACAAGGUAACCGUAGGGGAACCUGCGGUUGGAUCACCUCCUUA
This 1367-nucleotide ribosomal RNA is filed under the name Klebsiella pneumoniae. RNAcentral's name for it is "bacterial SSU rRNA". It matches the Rfam family "Bacterial small subunit ribosomal RNA". The record is from RNAcentral. Lineage: Bacteria; Pseudomonadati; Pseudomonadota; Gammaproteobacteria; Enterobacterales; Enterobacteriaceae.